AGCUCCUUCGUGGACUCCGCGGGACUCCGCGCCCUGCCCUGCUCACCGCGGCGGGGGAGGGGAGAGCGCCCCACACAGGAAGUGCAUCCUGCGCCCCUAGCUCGCGCCCCGCCGCCGCCGGGUACCUGCCCUGGGCCGCGGGCAGGCGACAGGCAGCCGCAUCCACAUGGCCUCAGGUGUUCGCGCAGCUGCUCCGCCAGCCCCAGCCGGCCCCUCCCGGGCCCGCUCCAAGCCCGGCCCUCCACCACGGGUGCCUCGCCCCCAGCCCGCGGCCAAGAGGCCAGCAACGCCGGUCUCCGCGGGGCUGCCAAGAGCGUGGACCCCUCAGCACCUCAGGCCGCAACGACCAGAUGCAAGAGGAAGGAGAAGGGUUUGAAUUAUGUGUCCCUAAAACUACUGAUUCUACACUAAGCCUGCAUCCAGCCUAGAUGUUGGGGAGUCUGUGGCUUCCCCUCAUAAAGCAACCCAACUUGAGAGGAAACUGGAAUCCAAAACAUGCUUUGGGUGUAAGGUCUCACUUUGCCUCGGGGACAAGAAGGAUACCAGAGAGCUCACGAGGAACAGGAUGCAGAGAAACACUGGGUCCAGUCCCUGCCUCCUUCCCUACGGUAGCCCCCUCCCUACUCUUUCAGUCCCUUUCAGAACACUAUCCAGGUGACCACCACAUGGAAGCUUGCCCCAUUCUACAGCCAGAUCUGCUGGGACCCUACCAUGUGCCUUUGAAGUAUCACACAGAGGAAACACCUUCAUUGAAAUCAUGACCAGCAGACAGCUCUCAAGGACAACUGCCAAGCACAUGUGUGAUGCCUUGGGAACAGAAAGCAGCAGGAAUCAUGGAUUCUCCAACUCACCACCAGUCCUUGACUCCAGCCUCUCUUUUGUGAGCCACUCAUCCCUACCGCCAAUUCACUGCAGUCCCAUGAGUACUUCUGCCUGGCUAAACAGUGUGCAGUGGCUUCCAAAGUCCCACUCUCCUGGACACAAAGCCCUCUCUUGGCUUAACUCGAAGUGCCAACCUCCACUCCCUUGUUUCAUUGUCUCUGCCAAACCAAACAAGUUGUGUCCCUGGCCUAGCCUAUUCCCAGAGGCAGAGGAGCCUGCCUCCACAGAGACUAAGGUAUUUCUACCUUGCUUUUUCAGGUCCAACUCAAAUGCUGCCUCCUUAAUAACCAUUCAUUCAUUCAUUCACUCAACACUGGCUGAGUCUUUAUCAUAUUCCAAGCAUUGAAUAAAGGGUCCUUGUUGUCAUGA
This is a non-coding RNA of Mus caroli (Ryukyu mouse), 1251 nucleotides long. NCBI's taxonomy places the organism in Eukaryota, Metazoa, Chordata, Mammalia, Rodentia, Muridae. The record is from RefSeq and is a predicted model, not a curated record.